UUGAAAUGGUAGGGGAUGACUUGUGGCUAGCGGAGAAAUUCCAAUCGAACCCGGAGAUAGCUGGUUCUCUCCGAAAUAGCUUUAGGGCUAGCCUCAAUUAACAUUACCGCAGGUAAAGCACUGAAUGAGCUAGGGGGCGAAAGCUUACUGAACUCUAUCAAACUCAGAAUGGCGGAUAAUGAAUGAUUGGGAGUCACACUACGUGAGAUAAGUUUCGUGGUGGAAAGGGAAACAGCCCAGACCCACAGCUAAGGUCCCAAAGUACAGUUAAGUGGAAAAGGAUGUGAAAUCGCGCAGACAACCAGGAUGUUGGCUCAGAAGCAGCCACUCAUUCAAAGAGUGCGUAAUAGCUCACUGGUCGAGUGAUUUUGCGCCGAAAAUUUAACGGGGCUAAACUGUACACCGAAGCUUGGGAAUAUACAUUUGUAUGUUGGUAGGAGAGCGUUGUGUAAGGGGUGAAGUCGUAGCGAAAGCGGCGGUGGACUUUACACAAGUGAGAAUGCCGGAAUGAGUAGCGAGAAUUAUGUGAGAAUCAUAAUGGCCGAAAGACUAAGGUUUUAGAAGGAAGGUUCGUCCGCUUCUAGUUAGCCGGGAGCUAAGGCGAGGCCGAGAGGCGUAGUCGAUGCACAUACGGUUGAGAUUCCGUAGCUACCUUGCAUUUAAGCGAAGGGACACAUUUGAAGGGCAUGACCCGGGCGUUGGUUGACCCGGGCGUAAGGGACCGAAAAUAAGUAGGGAAGCAUGCUUGGAUGGUGGCGAGAAAAGCUUCGUGUAUAUAAGCAGGGUACCCGUACUGCAAACCGACACAGGUAGUCAGGAAGAGGAUUCUAAGGCCAUCGGGAGAAGCGUUGUUAAGGAACUCGGCAAAUUGACCCCGUAACUUCGGAAUAAGGGGUGCUCACGCGAGUGAGCCGCAGUGAAUAGGUCCAGGCAACUGUUUAUCAAAAACACAGCUCUCUGCUAAAUCGUAAGAUGACGUAUAGGGGGUGACACCUGCCCGGUGCUGGAAGGUUAAGAGGAGGGGUGCAAGCUCCGAAUUGAAGCCCCAGUAAACGGCGGCCGUAACAAUAACGGUCCUAAGGUAGCGAAAUUCCUUGUCGGGUAAGUUCCGACCCGCACGAAUGGUGUAAUGAUCUGGACACUGUCUCAACAACGCACCCGGCGAAAUUGUAGUACCGGUGAAGAUGCCGGUUACCCGCGGCAAGACGGAAAGACCCCAUGGAGCUUCACUGUAGCCUGAUAUUGGGUCUCG
Molecule: ribosomal RNA, 1252 nt
Filed under: metagenome
Description: bacterial LSU rRNA
Rfam family: Bacterial large subunit ribosomal RNA
Source: RNAcentral